This 210-nucleotide long non-coding RNA is filed under the name Elaeis guineensis (African oil palm). RNAcentral's name for it is "long non-coding RNA (EGUI_LNC031135)". Lineage: Eukaryota; Viridiplantae; Streptophyta; Magnoliopsida; Arecales; Arecaceae. The record is from RNAcentral.
UGACCUCGAAAGUGAUUCGUCCAAAGGAAGAUGAAGUCCCAUAUAAAAAUGCAAGAAUUUAGGGCUUCUCCAAGUAGUUCUCUUAUGCAAGAAAGGACCAAGCAUCAAAAUAAUUAGAAGUCUAGUUUUUAAAAUAAAAGGCAUGCAAAUUGAGAUGGAUAUUGAUAGCAUUAGAUGCACGCUACAUAUAUAGAACGAUGGGAGCACCUC